Molecule: long non-coding RNA, 521 nt
Organism: Sus scrofa (pig)
Lineage: Eukaryota; Metazoa; Chordata; Mammalia; Artiodactyla; Suidae
Source: RefSeq, a predicted model, not a curated record
AAGAGGUCUUAAGAUGCACCUGCUGACCUGCUGAUAGUUUGGGGAAAGAAGUGUCUGAUGCUACACUUGCUACAUGGUUGGGGGCUUAUCAAAGCCCCCAUAGGGGAGAGCAGGAGAUCCGCACAGGCGCAGGCGGAAACUAUCAGCUCCUGGGAGAGGACCACGCAGACAGAGUAGGGGAAACAGCCCUGGGGCUCCCACUCAGGAAGCUUUUCUCCUCUCGUUGGUUGAGAACGAAUAGAGUGUAACCAUCACCUGGGACAGUGGGGAAUGUUUUACUCAGUAAGCCCAACAAAGCUUCAAGACAAAAACCCAAAAGACCAAAGUUUGCAAAUGAGUUUCCUGCUAGCCACCUCAAGACACAUAUACUGUUGAGCAGCAGAAUACCCUAGGAGUGACACAGCAGUGGACCAGAGUAUCUUCAAUGCAGACUGAACUUUGGAAACUAGAAGGCGUUUCAGAGCUUGUUUGCAGCGUUCUGUCAAUUUUCUACUGUACAGCAAGGUGACCCCGUCACACAU